CUUUCGAAAGAAAGAUUAAUACCCGAUGGCAUAGUUCUUCCGCAUGGUAGAACUAUUAAAGAAUUUCGGUCAUCGAUGGGGAUGCGUUCCAUUAGGUUGUUGGCGGGGUAACGGCCCACCAAGCCUUCGAUGGAUAGGGGUUCUGAGAGGAAGGUCCCCCACAUUGGAACUGAGACACGGUCCAAACUCCUACGGGAGGCAGCAGUGAGGAAUAUUGGUCAAUGGACGAGAGUCUGAACCAGCCAAGUAGCGUGAAGGAUGACUGCCCUAUGGGUUGUAAACUUCUUUUAUACGGGAAUAAAGUGAGGCACGUGUGCCUUUUUGUAUGUACCGUAUGAAUAAGGAUCGGCUAACUCCGUGCCAGCAGCCGCGGUAAUACGGAGGAUCCGAGCGUUAUCCGGAUUUAUUGGGUUUAAAGGGAGCGUAGGCGGACGCUUAAGUCAGUUGUGAAAGUUUGCGGCUCAACCGUAAAAUUGCAGUUGAUACUGGGUGUCUUGAGUACAGUAGAGGCAGGCGGAAUUCGUGGUGUAGCGGUGAAAUGCUUAGAUAUCACGAAGAACUCCGAUUGCGAAGGCAGCCUG
RNAcentral lists this ribosomal RNA (581 nucleotides) under uncultured bacterium. Its description in RNAcentral is "bacterial SSU rRNA". It matches the Rfam family "Bacterial small subunit ribosomal RNA", at positions 148 to 728 of the family's 1533-position model. The record is from RNAcentral.